RNAcentral lists this ribosomal RNA (498 nucleotides) under uncultured bacterium. RNAcentral's name for it is "partial 16S ribosomal RNA". It matches the Rfam family "Bacterial small subunit ribosomal RNA", at positions 30 to 523 of the family's 1533-position model. The record is from RNAcentral.
AUUGAACGCUGGCGGCAUGCCUUACACAUGCAAGUCGAACGGUAACAGGUCUUCGGAUGCUGACGAGUGGCGAACGGGUGAGUAAUACAUCGGAACGUGCCCGAUCGUGGGGGAUAACGAAGCGAAAGAGUGGCUAAUACCGCAUGAGAUCUAGGGAUGAAAGCAGGGGAUCGCAAGACCUUGUGCUACCAGAGCGGCCGAUAGCAGAUUAGGUAGUUGGUGGGAUAAAAGCUUACCAAGCCGACGAUCUGUAGCUGGUCUGAGAGGACGAUCAGCCACACUGGGACUGAGUCACGGCCCAGACUCCUACGGGAGGCAGCAGUGGGGAAUUUUGGACAAUGGGCGAAAGCCUGAUCCAGCAAUGCCGCGUGCAGGAUGAAGGCCUUCGGGUUAUAAACUGCUUUUGUACGGAACGAAAAGCCCCGGGUUAAUACCCUGGGGUCAUGACGGUACCGUAAGAAUAAGCACCGGCUAACUACGUGCCAGCAGCCGCCGUAA